Molecule: transfer RNA, 72 nt
Filed under: Chlamydiota bacterium
Lineage: Bacteria; Pseudomonadati; Chlamydiota
Description: Chlamydiae bacterium (groundwater metagenome) tRNA-Arg
Rfam family: tRNA
About the family: Transfer RNA (tRNA) molecules are approximately 80 nucleotides in length. Their secondary structure includes four short double-helical elements and three loops (D, anti-codon, and T loops).
Source: RNAcentral
GCCCCUAUAGCUCAACGGAUAGAGUACCAGCCUCCGGAGCUGGUGGUGCAGGUUCAAUUCCUGCUGGGGGCA